This 415-nucleotide long non-coding RNA is filed under the name Homo sapiens (human). RNAcentral's name for it is "non-protein coding lnc-MYLPF-1:1". Lineage: Eukaryota; Metazoa; Chordata; Mammalia; Primates; Hominidae. The record is from RNAcentral.
UGGGAGGACAAUGGUGAGAAGAGGGAACCUAAGAAUUCCUGGACUCUGACUGGGCGUGAGAAAUGGCCGGAAGUAGCUUCGAGUCCGUCAUUCAAGCAGUAGAGGCUCUGGAGAAAAACUGGAGCGCAUCUGCUUAAAGGGCCGCCCAGGGUCAGGAUGGAGGGGCAAAGUCCGAGCAGGGGGUUUCCUCCCAUAUUGGAUCACGAUGAAAACUGCACAGAAAGUCCGUGCUCAGUUUCUUCCAUGGUUACAGAACACAGGCCCCAGACCAGGAAGGCAUUCUGCUAAAGAAGGGGACCCGAAACCUCAGCUACCAGCGCCGAUGGUUCAUCCUCCGAGGAAACCUCCUCUUCUACCUAGAACACUAGACCGACCAUGCACCCCUGAGCCUCAUCCUGUUAGAGAACUGCCAGGU